RNAcentral lists this ribosomal RNA (245 nucleotides) under uncultured bacterium. Its description in RNAcentral is "partial 16S ribosomal RNA". It matches the Rfam family "Bacterial small subunit ribosomal RNA", at positions 118 to 354 of the family's 1533-position model. The record is from RNAcentral.
UGAGCAAUCUGCCCUUCUCAUCGGAAUAAGCGUUGGAAACGACGUCUAAUGCCGAAUACGACCUCCUUUCGCAUGAUCGGAGGUGGAAAGCUCCGGCGGAGAAGGAUGAGCUCGCGGCCUAUUAGCUUGUUGGUGGGGUAACGGCCCACCAAGGCGACUACGGGUAGCCGGCCUGAGGAGGGCGACCGGCCACACUGGGACUGAGAUACCGGCCCAGACUCCGUACGGGAGGCAGNAGGUAGGGG